GUCUUCUUGUUUAUCAUAGGAAGUCUGACCUGCCCAGUGAAUAAUUUUUUAACGGCCGCGGUAUUUUGACCGUGCAAAGGUAGCAUAAUCAUUAGUCUUUUAAUAGAAGGCUGGCAUGAAUGGUUUGACGAGGUGCUGACUGUCUCAUUUAAUUUUUUAUUAGAAUUUAACUUUUUAGUCAAAAGGCUAAAAUUUGUUUGGAAGACGAGAAGACCCUAUAGAGCUUUAUAAUAUUUUGACUAAUCAUAUUUGGUUUAAUUUCUUUGGUUAUUUUACUUAUUAUUUUGUUGGGGUGACAAAAAUAUAUAAUCAACUUUUUUAUUUAUUUAACAUUAAUUUAUGAUUUAUAGGAUCCAUUCUUAGUGAUUACUAGACUAAGUUACCUUAGGGAUAACAGCGUAAUCUUCUUUCAGAGUUCAAAUUUACAAGAAGGCUUGCGACCUCGAUGUUGGAUUAAGAUUAUAAUUAGGUGCAGCCGCUUAAUUUAUAGGUCUGUUCGACCUUUAAUUUCUUACAUGAUCUGAGUUCAAACCGG
Molecule: ribosomal RNA, 535 nt
Filed under: Indolestes sp. BOLD:ACG0554
Lineage: Eukaryota; Metazoa; Arthropoda; Insecta; Odonata; Lestidae
Description: partial 16S ribosomal RNA
Rfam family: Bacterial large subunit ribosomal RNA
Source: RNAcentral